RNAcentral lists this ribosomal RNA (1326 nucleotides) under uncultured Planctomycetota bacterium. RNAcentral describes it as "bacterial SSU rRNA". It matches the Rfam family "Bacterial small subunit ribosomal RNA", at positions 46 to 1397 of the family's 1533-position model. The record is from RNAcentral. Lineage: Bacteria; Pseudomonadati; Planctomycetota.
GGAUUAGGCAUGCAAGUCGAGCGAGAAGUCUUUUUGCUUGCAUUAAGACGGACAGCGGCGAAAGGGAGAGUAACGCGUAGAAAUGUACCCCAAGGUCUGGGAUAGCGGCGGGAAACUGCCGGUAAUACCGGAUAAUGUCUCCGGACCAAAGUUUUUCGCCUUGGGAGCAGUCUGCGUACUAUUAGGUAGUUGGUGGGGUAAUGGCCUACCAAGCCUCAGGUGGUUAGCGGGCGUGAGAGCGUGGCCCGUCUCACUGGGACUGAGACACUGCCCAGACAACUACGGUUGGCUGCAGUCGAGAAUCUUCCGCAAUGGGCGAAAGCCUGACGGAGCAAUGCCGCGUGGUGGAUGAAGGCCCUCGGGUUGUAAACACCUGUCAGUAGGAAGGAAAUUUUGACCGAUCUACAGAGGAAGUCCGGGCUAAGUACGUGCCAGCAGCCGCGGUAAUACGUACCGGACGAACGUUAUUCGGAAUCACUGGGCUUAAAGAGUACGUAGGCUGCCAUGAAGGUGAGAUGUGAAAUCCCACGGCCCAACCGUGGAACUGCAUUUCAAACCACAUGGCUUGAGGGAGACAGGGGUAAGCGGAACUGAUGGUGGAGCGGUGAAAUGCGUUGAUAUCAUCAGGAACACCGGUGGCGAAGGCGGCUUACUGGGUCUUUUCUGACGCUGAGGUACGAAAGCUAGGGUAGCGAACGGGAUUAGAUACCCCGGUAGUCCUAGCUGUAAACGAUGAGCACUAGUUCGAGGGGACUUCCACAUCUUCUCGGACGUAGCGAAAGUGUUAAGUGCUCCGCCUGGGGAGUAUGGCCGCAAGGCUGAAACUCAAAGGAAUUGACGGGGGCUCACACAAGCGGUGGAGGAUGUGGCUUAAUUCGAGGAUACGCGAAGAACCUUAUCCUGGUCUUGACAUGCUUGAGAACGUCCGUGAAAGCGGAAAGUGCCCUUCGGGGAGCUCUUGCACAGGUGCUGCAUGGCUGUCGUCAGCUCGUGUCGCGAGAUGUCGGGUUAAGUCCCUUAACGAGCGAAACCCUUAUCUUUAGUUGCCAGCGCGUAAUGGCGGGGACUCUAGAGAGACUGCCGGUGUUAAACCGGAGGAAGGUGGGGAUGACGUCAAGUCCUCAUGGCCUUUAUGACCAGGGCUGCACACGUCCUACAAUGCAACAUACAAAGGGAAGCGAACUCGCGAGAGCAAGCAAAUCCCAAAAAGUGUUGCUCAGUUCGGAUUGCAGGCUGCAACUCGCCUGCAUGAAGCCGGAAUCGCUAGUAAUCGUGGGUCAGCAUACCACGGUGAAUAUGUUCCUGAGCCUUGUACACACCGCCCGU